CUCUUUCCACCUCCCGUGCAUCUCAGUAUCUCACCCGCUCUCACUAUCUCCCCAUCUCUCUUUCUGUUCACUAUCUAUUUCCCUUCUCUUCACCAUAAAUUACUUGUGGGUUUUUCUCAGGUAUCAUCAUUGACUAACCAUAAGACAAAAAAUCGCCGCUGCAAAUCUCCGCUCAUACACUUCCCGCCGCACCAAAUCCAUCACGACAGCCGCCUCUUCCCGCCGUUCCUCGACCAACUCCGACAGCCUACAGCAGCAGUGCACGCAUGGGUCUUCGCCGUCACAGUCGCUUGCCAUCGCCAUUUCUUUUGAGCUAAGGUAGAAGAAAGAGAGUGGACCAUAGAUUCGACCCAAGCAUCCACAUCAGGGAUGUCUUUCAGUGUGCAGUAUUCAAAGAAGACAUCCAGGGAAGGAUGAUUGAUAGACGGGAUAUAGAUGCUUCAUUUGAUAACUUUCCAUAUUACUUAAGGUGGCAAAGCUAUUGAUGAAAAAGGGCAUACCAAACACCACAUAGAAAGUAAUUUUUUUUUUUUUUUUUUGUAUGAAGUAGACUAGACAUUUUUGCUUUGGGGCUGCUUUUGUCUAAACUAAACAUGUUUAUCUGUACCAUCUCAUUUUUCAAAAUAGCCAAUAGAUACAUUACUAUGGCUAUUUGUUAUAAUUAGUUUCUUUACCUUUUGUCUUUACAAAGUUGUAUGAAACAUUUCAUUUUGGUAGUGAUGAUGAAGUCUUUUAAUAUAUUGAUUGAGUUUACUUU
Molecule: long non-coding RNA, 757 nt
Organism: Ipomoea nil (Japanese morning glory)
Lineage: Eukaryota; Viridiplantae; Streptophyta; Magnoliopsida; Solanales; Convolvulaceae
Exons: 4
Source: RefSeq, a predicted model, not a curated record